This 452-nucleotide long non-coding RNA is filed under the name Homo sapiens (human). RNAcentral describes it as "non-protein coding lnc-MAP1LC3B-3:3". Lineage: Eukaryota; Metazoa; Chordata; Mammalia; Primates; Hominidae. The record is from RNAcentral.
AAAGACUGGGUGGCCUGAGGGCAAGGAAUGGAAAUAUCACUGAAACUAAAGAAAACGACCCUCCAGUCCAGUGGGUGCAAACUGGGGACUUCAGCUGGAUUCACCCCUCAGGUGGCUUCUGUUUGGCCACCACCUUGUUUGAUUCUGAAACCUGAAGUGGGAAAUCCAGGUUGCUGGAGAAGCCACAAACCACACCAGCCAGGUGUGCCACCCCACACCAGCCAGGUGAGAGAGAAGAUCGGUGACAAUGUGUGUAAGCUGCAACAACACUUUCCCUGUAGCCACCUUUGGGGCAUAAAGAAGGGUCUCCUGUAGCCCCCACUGACCUGGAUCCACAGACACAAAAAUCUGGGAAAUGUAGUUCCAGCUGGAGUAACAGUGAUGGCAACAGAAAUAACAAUAACGAAAGACAUGCAUUUAGGAUCUAUACCAAGCGCCUCCCAUGUAUCAUU